Molecule: long non-coding RNA, 445 nt
Filed under: Ananas comosus (pineapple)
Lineage: Eukaryota; Viridiplantae; Streptophyta; Magnoliopsida; Poales; Bromeliaceae
Description: long non-coding RNA (ACOM_LNC034217)
Source: RNAcentral
AAAUGAAAGCAAGCAAAUGUAUCAAAUUGUAAUCAAUAAAUGUUGUAAUAACUUAAUUGUAUUGGAAGUUGAAUGUAAUGGAAUUGUGAUGUAAAAUGAAUGGAUGUAAUAUCAUAGGAUGUGUUUAUGUUGAUUGAUACCUUCCUGAUGCAAUUCUGUUUGCUGAGUACUGUUCCUGGUUGGAACCUUUGUACUGUACUUGUUGCGACGCCUAGGACGUACAGGGGAAACUCUGUCCGUUCGGCGGUCUGUCGGCGUGCCCGAACCGGACCAAAUUGGGAGCGGUCUCGGGGCGUGACAACUGAUGUAAAGCAAAGAAUGUAAAGUUCGUUUUGAGCUAAUGUGAUGUAAGAAAGAAAUGAUAAAAAGUAUGUAAAGAAUUUUGAAUGUACAAGUCAAGUGACAUGUAUGAGAUCAAAGUUUGAAUCAUAGUACAUGUUAAAUG